RNAcentral lists this ribosomal RNA (491 nucleotides) under uncultured bacterium. Its description in RNAcentral is "partial 16S ribosomal RNA". It matches the Rfam family "Bacterial small subunit ribosomal RNA", at positions 29 to 506 of the family's 1533-position model. The record is from RNAcentral.
AGUGAACUCUGGCGGUAGGCCUAACACAUGCAAGUCGAACGGCAGCACAGUAAGAGCUUGCUCUUACGGGUGGCGAGUGGCGGACGGGUGAGGAAUACAUCGGAAUCUACUUUUUCGUGGGGGAUAACGUAGGGAAACUUACGCUAAUACCGCAUACGACCUACGGGUGAAAGCAGGGGAUCUUCGGACCUUGCGCGAUUGAAUGAGCCGAUGUCGGAUUAGCUAGUUGGCGGGGUAAAGGCCCACCAAGGCGACGAUCCGUAGCUGGUCUGAGAGGAUGAUCAGCCACACUGGAACUGAGACACGGUCCAGACUCCUACGGGAGGCAGCAGUGGGGAAUAUUGGACAAUGGGCGCAAGCCUGAUCCAGCCAUACCGCGUGGGUGAAGAAGGCCUUCGGGUUGUAAAGCCCUUUUGUUGGGAAAGAAAAGCAGCAGGUUAAUACCCCGCUGUUCUGACGGUACCCAAAGAAUAAGCACCGGCUAACUUCGU